This is a long non-coding RNA of Clupea harengus (Atlantic herring), 724 nucleotides long. Lineage: Eukaryota; Metazoa; Chordata; Actinopteri; Clupeiformes; Clupeidae. The record is from Ensembl.
UGAUGUUUUGCUUGAGAGCAAAACAGACAAGAAAAAGAUAACAGAUCUGACUCAACACAUCAAGGCUUUGGAGAAACAACUGGAGGAAACAAGAGCGCAGCUUGAAGAAAAAGGACAAGUUAUUAUCAAUAAAGACUUUAUGAUUGACCAGCAAAAAGCCUCUCUGGACGAGCUGACUCACAUUGGACAGGGCCUGAAAGGAAAGAUCAAGGACCUGGAGAACCAGUUGGAAGUAGCUCUGAUCACUGGGGGCGGAGGUUUCCUGGAGAAGGAUGGCACUUUCUCUGUUGCCACUGAGAAUCACCUUUCUUUGGCCGAAGAGCUUGGACAACUAUCUGGUUUUCAGAGUUCUGCGAGUCCUGCUUUUUACCAGGUGGAAUUUGAUGACGACGUGGAGGUAGAUGAAAGUCUGGAGUUUGAGGUCGAUGUCAUGGUGGGAUCAAAGGCCUUAGCAGAAGAGCUUAAAGAUGCCCCGCAAGACGUCAACCAUAAGGUGAAGAAAGAGGAAAUCAUCUGUGAGAACGUGGAGAUGACAUUCUGUCCUGAGAUAGAGGAAGCCGUAAAAAAUGAGGAGGUGGAUGAGGUCAUCAAGCAUGUGGAGAAGAAAGAGGAAGGUAGCAAUGAGACCGUGGAGAUGGACAUCCGUUGUGAGGAGAUCAUCAACCAUGAGACGAGAGAGGCUCAGAAGCCUGAGGUGAUGGCGCAAUUCCUCAGGAAAGGAGAC